Molecule: long non-coding RNA, 690 nt
Organism: Nematostella vectensis (starlet sea anemone)
Lineage: Eukaryota; Metazoa; Cnidaria; Anthozoa; Actiniaria; Edwardsiidae
Exons: 2
Source: RefSeq, a predicted model, not a curated record
UGAGUUCCUGUGCUCGAAAGUAAAAUAUCGUUUGGGAAACCUUUUCAAAUUGAGCGCUUUUAUUGGAGACUGCCGUAAAAUCGAACUCUCUUCGUAAUGUUUACGUUUAGAAAAAGAGAAAUAUGAGUGUGAUGGACCAAAUUCUACGGCUUAGGACCUUGACAGGACUAAACUAGGAUAAAUGAGGAUCAUGGCAUACUAAAACAAUUUUCACCACAAGCCGAAACGAGUGCCCACAGGGUAUGGUGAAAGUUGAGAAGAGCGGAGGUUGAAUUGUGAGGACGAAAGUGCGAGUCAAGGCCCAACGUCUAUACAACAGGGAAAAUUCGCCGGAGAAUAGGUCAGGGUUUCCCUGCGCAUGCAGGAAGAUAAAGAAGAUAAAAAAUCGACUUUACCUGACAAGGAUUUCCUGGAUUGAGGGUUCCCUCGGAGAAGCAUUUGCGGUUUCCGUUGUAUUCUAUGACACAGUACUGGGGCUUCAGGGAGCAUCCUAUGCCGUUUUGUGUCUCGCACGGCAAGCAGUUGUAUGGGUGUCCCUUGCAUACGCCAUUGUCACAGUAGUCGUUCUUUGUCGUGGGGUUAUUAUCGUUGCACGGAAGGUGAUUAUUGUUAGUCCAGUGGAACUUGUUGUUGCCAUUACAUUGCUGUGUAAAACAAAAGCAAUCAUUCAAUAAAACUACGUCUUCAAUU